CCUACGGGAGGCAGCAGUAGGGAAUAUUGCUCAAUGGGGGAAACCCUGAAGCAGCAACGCCGCGUGGAGGAUGAAGGUCUUCGGAUUGUAAACCCCUUUUGUUAGAGAAGAGAAUGACGGUAUCUAACGAAUAAGCACCGGCCAACUCCGUGCCAGCAGCCGCGGUAAUACGGAGGGUGCAAGCGUUACUCGGAAUCACUGGGCGUAAAGAGGUCGUAGGCGGGUUAGCAAGUCAGAUGUGAAAUCCUAUGGCUUAACCCUAGAACUGCAUUUGAAACUGUUAUUCUAGAGUAUGGGAGAGGUAGGUGGAAUUCUUGGUGGAGGGGUGAAAUCCGUAGAUAUCAGGAGGAAUACUCAUUGCGAAGGCGGCCUGCUAGACCAUAACUGACGCUGAUGCGCGAAAGCGUGGGGAGCAAACAGGAUUAGAUACCCUAGUAGUC
This 440-nucleotide ribosomal RNA is filed under the name uncultured bacterium. Its description in RNAcentral is "partial 16S ribosomal RNA". It matches the Rfam family "Bacterial small subunit ribosomal RNA", at positions 338 to 795 of the family's 1533-position model. The record is from RNAcentral.